This 537-nucleotide ribosomal RNA is filed under the name Salmonella enterica. RNAcentral's name for it is "bacterial SSU rRNA". It matches the Rfam family "Bacterial small subunit ribosomal RNA", at positions 239 to 768 of the family's 1533-position model. The record is from RNAcentral. RNAcentral also lists the same sequence under 1 other name. Lineage: Bacteria; Pseudomonadati; Pseudomonadota; Gammaproteobacteria; Enterobacterales; Enterobacteriaceae.
GAUUAGCUUGUUGGUGAGGUAACGGCUCACCAAGGCGACGAUCCCUAGCUGGUCUGAGAGGAUGACCAGCCACACUGGAACUGAGACACGGUCCAGACUCCUACGGGAGGCAGCAGUGGGGAAUAUUGCACAAUGGGCGCAAGCCUGAUGCAGCCAUGCCGCGUGUAUGAAGAAGGCCUUCGGGUUGUAAAGUACUUUCAGCGGGGAGGAAGGUGUUGUGGUUAAUAACCGCAGCAAUUGACGUUACCCGCAGAAGAAGCACCGGCUAACUCCGUGCCAGCAGCCGCGGUAAUACGGAGGGUGCAAGCGUUAAUCGGAAUUACUGGGCGUAAAGCGCACGCAGGCGGUCUGUCAAGUCGGAUGUGAAAUCCCCGGGCUCAACCUGGGAACUGCAUUCGAAACUGGCAGGCUUGAGUCUUGUAGAGGGGGGUAGAAUUCCAGGUGUAGCGGUGAAAUGCGUAGAGAUCUGGAGGAAUACCGGUGGCGAAGGCGGCCCCCUGGACAAAGACUGACGCUCAGGUGCGAAAGCGUGGGGAG